Molecule: ribosomal RNA, 120 nt
Filed under: Propionimicrobium sp. BV2F7
Lineage: Bacteria; Bacillati; Actinomycetota; Actinomycetes; Propionibacteriales; Propionibacteriaceae
Source: RNAcentral
GUUUCGGUGAUGAUAGCGGAAGUGAAACACCUGGUUCCAUUCCGAACCCAGAAGUUAAGCCUUCUAGCGCCGAUGGUACUGCAGGCGGGAGCCUGUGGGAGACUAGGUAGUUGCCGGACU